AUGAACGCUGGCGGCGUGCCUCAUACAUGCAAGUCGCGCGCACGGACGAGAAGCUUGCUUCUCUGAUGUUAGCGGCGGACGGGUGAGUAACACGUGGAUAACCUACCUAUAAGACUGGGAUAACUUCGGGAAACCGUAGCUAAUACCGGAUAAUAUUUUGAACCGCCUGGUUCAAAAGUGAAAGACGGUCUUGCUGUCACUUAUAGAUGGAUCCGCGCUGCAUUAGCUAGUUGGUAAGGUAACGGCUUACCAAGGCAACGAUGCAUAGCCGACCUGAGAGGGUGAUCGGCCACACUGGAACUGAGACACGGUCCAGACUCCUACGGGAGGCAGCAGUAGGGAAUCUUCCGCAAUGGGCGAAAGCCUGACGGAGCAACGCCGCGUGAGUGAUGAAGGUCUUCGGAUCGUAAAACUCUGUUAUUAGGGAAGAACAUAUGUGUAAGUAACUGUGCACAUCUUGACGGUACCUAAUCAGAAAGCCACGGCUAACUACGUG
RNAcentral lists this ribosomal RNA (496 nucleotides) under uncultured bacterium. RNAcentral describes it as "partial 16S ribosomal RNA". It matches the Rfam family "Bacterial small subunit ribosomal RNA", at positions 29 to 507 of the family's 1533-position model. The record is from RNAcentral.